Molecule: ribosomal RNA, 253 nt
Filed under: uncultured bacterium
Lineage: Bacteria
Description: partial 16S ribosomal RNA
Rfam family: Bacterial small subunit ribosomal RNA
Source: RNAcentral
UACAGAGGGUGCGAGCGUUAAUCGGAAUUACUGGGCGUAAAGCGCACGUAGGUGGCGACGUAAGUCGGGUGUGAAAGCCCCGGGCUCAACCUGGGAAUUGCAUUCGAGACUGCAUUGCUGGAGUACGGAAGAGGAAGGCGGAAUUCCCGGUGUAGCGGUGAAAUGCGUAGAUAUCGGGAGGAACAGCAGUGGCGAAGGCGGCAUGAUGGGCCAGUACUGACGCUGAAGUGCGAAAGCGUGGGGAGCAAACAGG